UCCAUGUAACCUACAAAAGUAAGUGGAUUCCUGGUACAUUGUAAAUUGUAUAAUUUCUGUUUCAUGACUCGCUUUUCUCACAGAGCUUGUCAAAACACAAUAGAAGUAAUAUUGGAACUGAAGGUGGACCACCUCCUUUUGUGCCUUUUGGACAGAAGUGCAUAUCCCACGUCCAAGUGGAUAGUAGAGAACUUGACCGAAGAAAGACAUUGCAAGUUACGAUGCCUGCCAAACAAACAAAUGAUAAUGAUGAAUUUGAAAAGCAAAGGACUGCUGCUAUUGCGGAAGUUGCAAAGAGCAAAGAAACCAAGACAUUUGGAGGAGGUGGUGUGG
Long non-coding RNA from Canis lupus familiaris (dog), 333 nucleotides. RefSeq lists it as uncharacterized. The transcript has 3 exons. The record is from RefSeq and is a predicted model, not a curated record. NCBI's taxonomy places the organism in Eukaryota, Metazoa, Chordata, Mammalia, Carnivora, Canidae.